This 741-nucleotide ribosomal RNA is filed under the name uncultured bacterium. RNAcentral's name for it is "bacterial SSU rRNA". It matches the Rfam family "Bacterial small subunit ribosomal RNA", at positions 8 to 796 of the family's 1533-position model. The record is from RNAcentral.
AGAGUUUGAUCCUGGCUCAGAACGAACGCUGGCGGCAGGCUUAACACAUGCAAGUCGAACGCACCGCAAGGUGAGUGGCAGACGGGUGAGUAACGCGUGGGAACCUUCCCUUUGGUACGGAAUAACUUCGGGAAACCGAAGCUAAUACCGUAUAAGUCCUUCGGGAGAAAGAUUUAUCGCCAAAGGAUGGGCCCGCGUUGGAUUAGCUAGUUGGUAGGGUAAAGGCCUACCAAGGCUACGAUCCAUAGCUGGUCUGAGAGGAUGAUCAGCCACACUGGGACUGAGACACGGCCCAGACUCCUACGGGAGGCAGCAGUGGGGAAUAUUGGACAAUGGGGGCAACCCUGAUCCAGCCAUGCCGCGUGAGUGAAGAAGGCCUUAGGGUUGUAAAGCUCUUUUGGCGGGGACGAUAAUGACGGUACCCGCAGAAUAAGCCCCGGCUAACUUCGUGCCAGCAGCCGCGGUAAUACGAAGGGGGCUAGCGUUGUUCGGAAUCACUGGGCGUAAAGCGCACGCAGGCGGAUUGAUAAGUCAGGGGUGAAAUCCCGGAGCUCAACUUCGGAAUUGCCUUUGAUACUGUCUAUCUUCGAGUUCGGGAGAGGUUGGCGGAAUUCCUAGUGUAGAGGUGAAAUUCGUAGAUAUUAGGAAGAACACCAGUGGCGAAGGCGGCCAACUGGCCCGAUACUGACGCUCAUGUGCGAAAGCGUGGGGAGCAAACAGGAUUAGAUACCCUAGUAGUCC